CAGAGUUCAUGCCCUAACGGGUAGACCUCCCACCCUUGUGUAUUUAUACUUUGUUGCUUUGGCGAGCUGCGAUGGGCUUUACUGCCCAGAGCCCUAGGCUUUCGAGCCUAAGAGUCGCUCGCCGAAGGAAAAAUAACCCUGAUAAUUAAUGUCGUCUGAGUACUAUAUAAUAGUUA
This 176-nucleotide unclassified non-coding RNA is filed under the name uncultured Poculum. RNAcentral's name for it is "sequence contains ITS1". The record is from RNAcentral. Lineage: Eukaryota; Fungi; Ascomycota; Leotiomycetes; Helotiales; Rutstroemiaceae.